GAGUUUGAUCCUGGCUCAGAUUGAACGCUGGCGGCAGGCCUAACACAUGCAAGUCGAGCGGAUGACGGGAGCUUGCUCCUUGAUUCAGCGGCGGACGGGUGAGUAAUGCCUAGGAAUCUGCCUGGUAGUGGGGGACAACGUUUCGAAAGGAACGCUAAUACCGCAUACGUCCUACGGGAGAAAGCAGGGGACCUUCGGGCCUUGCGCUAUCAGAUGAGCCUAGGUCGGAUUAGCUAGUUGGUGGGGUAAUGGCUCACCAAGGCGACGAUCCGUAACUGGUCUGAGAGGGUGAUCAGUCACACUGGAACUGAGACACGGUCCAGACUCCUACGGGAGGCAGCAGUGGGGAAUAUUGGACAAUGGGCGAAAGCCUGAUCCAGCCAUGCCGCGUGUGUGAAGAAGGUCUUCGGAUUGUAAAGCACUUUAAGUUGGGAGGAAGGGCAGUAAGUUAAUACCUUGCUGUUUUGACGUUA
Molecule: ribosomal RNA, 473 nt
Filed under: bacterium enrichment culture clone ALO1_GLFRUDD03GDT18
Lineage: Bacteria
Description: bacterial SSU rRNA
Rfam family: Bacterial small subunit ribosomal RNA
Source: RNAcentral